AUGGCCAUGUUCCAGAAGCAUUCUCUCCUGCCGUUUCGCCCACAUCUAUGGCAGGUAUCCUCAGAGGUUGUGAGAAAUAAUAAUAAUAAUAAUAAUAAUAAUAAUAAUAAUAAUAAUAAUAAUAAUAAUAGGGUUGUUGUAUGCAUUCCAGGCUGUAUGGCCAUGUUCCGGAAGCAUUCUCUCCUGCCGUUUCGCCCACAUCUAUGGCAGGCAUCCUCAGAGGUUGUGAGAAAUAAUAAUAAUAAUAAUAAUAAUAAUAAUAAUAAUAAUAAUAGGGUUGUUGUAUGCAUUCCAGGCUGUAUGGCCAUGUUCCGGAAGCAUUCUCUCCUGCCGUUUCGCCCACAUCUAUGGCAGGCAUCCUCAGAGGUUGUGAGAAAUAAUAAUAAUAAUAAUAAUAAUAAUAAUAAUAAUAAUAAUAAUAAUAGGGUUGUUGUAUGCAUUCCAGGCUGUAUGGCCAUGUUCCGGAAGCAUUCUCUCCUGCCGUUUCGCCCACAUCUAUGGCAGGCAUCCUCAGAGGUUGUGAGAAAUAAUAAUAAUAAUAAUAAUAAUAAUAAUAAUAAUAAUAAUAAUAAUAAUAGGGUUGUUGUAUGCAUUCCAGGCUGUAUGGCCAUGUUCCGGAAGCAUUCUCUCCUGCCGUUUCGCCCACAUCUAUGGCAGGCAUCCUCAGAGGUUGUGAGAAAUAAUAAUAAUAAUAAUAAUAAUAAUAAUAAUAAUAAUAAUAAUAAUAAUAAUAGGGUUGUUGUAUGCAUUCCAGGCUGUAUGGCCAUGUUCCGGAAGCAUUCUCUCCUGCCGUUUCGCCCACAUCUAUGGCAGGCAUCCUCAGAGGUUGUGAGAAAUAAUAAUAAUAAUAAUAAUAAUAAUAAUAAUAAUAAUAAUAAUAAUAAUAGGGUUGUUGUAUGCAUUCCAGGCUGUAUGGCCAUGUUCCGGAAGCAUUCUCUCCUGCCGUUUCGCCCACAUCUAUGGCAGGCAUCCUCAGAGGUUGUGAGGUCUGUUAGAAACUAG
RNAcentral lists this long non-coding RNA (1002 nucleotides) under Anolis carolinensis (green anole). RNAcentral's name for it is "lncRNA (ENSACAG00000036325.1)". The record is from RNAcentral. Lineage: Eukaryota; Metazoa; Chordata; Lepidosauria; Squamata; Anolidae.